RNAcentral lists this ribosomal RNA (541 nucleotides) under uncultured bacterium. Its description in RNAcentral is "bacterial SSU rRNA". It matches the Rfam family "Bacterial small subunit ribosomal RNA", at positions 777 to 1314 of the family's 1533-position model. The record is from RNAcentral.
AAUAGAUACCCGGGUAGUCCACGCCGUAAACGAUGAGUGCUAAGUGUUAGAGGGCUUCCACCCUUUAGUGCUGCAGCUAACGCAUUAAGCACUCCGCCUGGGGAGUACGGCCGCAAGGCUGAAACUCAAAGGAAUUGACGGGGGCCCGCACAAGCGGUGGAGCACGUGGUUUAAUUCGAAGCAACGCGAAGAACCUUACCAGGUCUUGACAUCCUUCGCUACCUCUAGAGAUAGAGGGUUCCCCUUCGGGGGACGGAGUGACAGGUGGUGCAUGGUUGUCGUCAGCUCGUGUCGUGAGAUGUUGGGUUAAGUCCCGCAACGAGCGCAACCCUUGACCUUAGUUGCCAGCAUUCAGUUGGGCACUCUAAGGUGACUGCCGGUGACAAACCGGAGGAAGGUGGGGAUGGACGGUCAAAUCAUCAUGCCCCUUAUGACCUGGGCUACACACGUGCUACAAUGGAUGGUACAAAGGGUCGCGAAACCGCGAGGUGGAGCCAAUCCCAAAAAACCAUUCUCAGUUCGGAUUGCAGGCUGCAACUCG